UAGGGAAUCUUCCGCAAUGGGCGAAAGCCUGACGGAGCAACGCCGCGUUAGUGAUGAAGGUCUUCGGAUCGUAAAACUCUGUUAUUAGGGAAGAACAAAUGUGUAAGUAACUAUGCACGUCUUGACGGUACCUAAUCAGAAAGCCACGGCUAACUACGUGCCAGCAGCCGCGGUAAUACGUAGGUGGCAAGCGUUAUCCGGAAUUAUUGGGCGUAAAGCGCGCGUAGGCGGUUUUUUAAGUCUGAUGUGAAAGCCCACGGCUCAACCGUGGAGGGUCAUUGGAAACUGGAAAAAUUGAGUGAAGAAGAGGAAAGUGGAAUUCCAUGUGUAGCGGUGAAAUGCGCAGAGAUAUGGAGGAACACCAGUGGCGAAGGCGACUUUCUGGUCUGUAACUGACGCUGAUGUGCGAAAGCGUGGGGAUCAAACAGG
Molecule: ribosomal RNA, 429 nt
Filed under: Actinomycetes bacterium
Lineage: Bacteria; Bacillati; Actinomycetota; Actinomycetes
Description: Actinobacteria bacterium partial 16S ribosomal RNA
Rfam family: Bacterial small subunit ribosomal RNA
Source: RNAcentral